ACGUUGGUGGCAUAGUGGUAAGAAUAGCUGCCUUCCAAGCAGUUGACCUGGGUUUGUUUCCCAGCCAACACA
This 72-nucleotide transfer RNA is filed under the name Bos taurus (domestic cattle). It matches the Rfam family "tRNA". From Rfam's summary of the family: Transfer RNA (tRNA) molecules are approximately 80 nucleotides in length. Their secondary structure includes four short double-helical elements and three loops (D, anti-codon, and T loops). RNAcentral also lists the same sequence under 4 other names. Lineage: Eukaryota; Metazoa; Chordata; Mammalia; Artiodactyla; Bovidae. The record is from Rfam by way of RNAcentral.